UACCUAUCUCUCAUUUUGGAUGAGAAAUACUAAGUCCUAUCACAUUCAUAAUGGCAAUCAAAUUUCGCAUAAAGAUUGUUUGUAUAGAAUUCAUCUUCUACACCCUCUUGUAUAGUAUUUAUCUUGAAGUUCAGAUAGUCCACGAGUGCGAUGCUCGCAUUCCAUGAAGAUACAACACUCUGAUAGGCUAGUGAAAGUAAAGGUCUUUUGCCAAGACAUACA
Molecule: long non-coding RNA, 222 nt
Filed under: Elaeis guineensis (African oil palm)
Lineage: Eukaryota; Viridiplantae; Streptophyta; Magnoliopsida; Arecales; Arecaceae
Description: long non-coding RNA (EGUI_LNC022464)
Source: RNAcentral